UGGCUCAGGAUGAACGCUAGCGACAGGCCUAACACAUGCAAGUCGAGGGGCAGCAUAAAGGUAGCAAUACUUUGGUGGCGACCGGCGCACGGGUGAGUAACACGUAUGCAACCUACCUGUAAGAGGGGAAUAACCCGGAGAAAUUCGGACUAAUACCGCAUAAUACCACGAAGCUGCAUGGCUUUGUGUUUAAACAUUUAUGGCUUACAGAUGGGCAUGCGUAUGAUUAGAUAGUUGGUAGGGUAACGGCCUACCAAGUCAACGAUCAUUAGGGGUUCUGAGAGGAAGGUCCCCCACACUGGUACUGAGACACGGACCAGACUCCUACGGGAGGCAGCAGUGAGGAAUAUUGGUCAAUGGGCGAGAGCCUGAACCAGCCAAGUCGCGUGAAGGAAGAAGGUUCUAUGGAUUGUAAACUUCUUUUGUAAGGGAAUAAAAAGAGUUACGUGUAACUUCUUGUAUGUACUUUACGAAUAAGGAUCGGCUAACUCCGUGCCAGCAGCCGCGGUAAUACGGAGGAUCCAAGCGUUAUCCGGAUUUAUUGGGUUUAAAGGGUGCGUAGGCGGACCCGUUAGUCAGUGGUGAAAGUUUGCAGCUCAACUGUAAAAUUGCCAUUGAAACUGCGGGUCUUGAGUGUAAAUAAGGUAGGCGGAAUGUGUUGUGUAGCG
Molecule: ribosomal RNA, 668 nt
Filed under: uncultured bacterium
Lineage: Bacteria
Description: bacterial SSU rRNA
Rfam family: Bacterial small subunit ribosomal RNA
Source: RNAcentral